UUCUUAUCGAGAGAGGCAGAGGGACUGGCCCGAUGAAGCCCGGCAGCCUGAAUAAUAUGAAAGUAUAUUAUUUAAAGGUGCCAAAUCCUGCAAACCAUGAUGGUUUGAGAGAUAAGAA
Molecule: non-coding RNA, 118 nt
Filed under: Sporanaerobacter sp. PP17-6a
Lineage: Bacteria; Bacillati; Bacillota; Tissierellia; Tissierellales; Sporanaerobacteraceae
Also listed under: 1 other name
Description: SAM riboswitch aptamer (S box leader)
Rfam family: SAM riboswitch aptamer (S box leader)
About the family: The SAM riboswitch is found upstream of a number of genes which code for proteins involved in methionine or cysteine biosynthesis in Gram-positive bacteria.
Source: Rfam by way of RNAcentral